GCCGCUAUCGUCUAGUGGUUAGGACAUCAGGUUCUCAUCCUGAAAAUCGGGGUUCAAUUCCCCGUAGCGGUACCA
Molecule: transfer RNA, 75 nt
Filed under: Candidatus Kuenenbacteria bacterium CG1_02_38_13
Lineage: Bacteria; Candidatus Kueneniibacteriota
Also listed under: 2 other names
Description: tRNA-Glu
Rfam family: tRNA
About the family: Transfer RNA (tRNA) molecules are approximately 80 nucleotides in length.
Source: RNAcentral